RNAcentral lists this ribosomal RNA (253 nucleotides) under uncultured bacterium. RNAcentral's name for it is "partial 16S ribosomal RNA". It matches the Rfam family "Bacterial small subunit ribosomal RNA", at positions 524 to 776 of the family's 1533-position model. The record is from RNAcentral.
UACAGAGGGUGCGAGCGUUAAUCGGAAUUACUGGGCGUAAAGCGUGCGUAGACGGUUAUGUAAGUUAGGGGUGAAAUCCCGGGGCUCAACCCCGGAACUGCCUUUAAUACUGGGUAUCUCGAGUUCGAGAGAGGUGAGUGGAAUUCCGAGUGUAGAGGUGAAAUUCGUAGAUAUUCGGAGGAACACCAGUGGCGAAGGCGGCUCACUGGCUCGAUACUGACGCUGAGGUGCGAAAGCGUGGGGAGCAAACAGG